AGGUGUGAUCAUACCAACACUAGUGCACCGAAUCCCAUCAGAACUCCGUAGUUUAGCAUGCUUGGGCGAUAGUAGUACUUGGAUGGGUGACCUCCUAGGAAGUCCUCGUGUUGCACCUC
This 119-nucleotide ribosomal RNA is filed under the name Lupinus angustifolius (narrow-leaved blue lupine). Lineage: Eukaryota; Viridiplantae; Streptophyta; Magnoliopsida; Fabales; Fabaceae. The record is from RNAcentral.